AAAGUUGAAAUCCAGCAGAUGUUUCUCACUGAUCUCUUCCUGAAGCAGCGGACUGCUGAGGCUGAGCCAGCGCUGCAGACCUGGGAAAACCAGCAACGUGUGUGGUGCUUUUGGAUGUCCCAGGCUGCUUUCUUUCCACAGGGCAUGUUCAGCAGCUGUAGAGCCCAUUCCUGUGCGCUGAGUCCUUGUGCUCAUCCUAGGAUGUGUCAUUCUGGGAUGUGUCCUUGGCCUCUGCUUCCCUGCCAGCGCCAUUUCACAUACUAUUUGGCCAGCAGAAAGUGCUUCAAACGGCUUAGCAGUCCCAGAAUGGCAACGAAAUCUGCACGUGGAUGACUGAAAGACAGAUGGAGGGGCUGGCUGUGGAUGAGAAGCACCGCUUCUGCAAGGCCCACGGCAUGUCCCCUUUCACUCGUGAAGACGUGCAGACGUGCCGUGGUGGGGCACCAAAUAAAAUCACUUGAUAGCCACGCACACGAUACUGGCGUGUACACAUCCCACACGUGAAUAGCAAAGGGCAGCACUCGGCCGCCAGCCAGCGUUUGGCCGGUGAGGUGACGUUUGAUCGAUGCGACACCGGAUCGAUAGCAAGCACGCAAGAAAACAAGCAGGAAGAAGAUGUGGUAAGGAAUGCCGGUGGGAGGACCUGGCAGACGCUCGCGGGAGUUGAUUCAGAAGGGAGAUGCAGCCCCACCUGUUCUGCUGUGAGCAAACUUGCCCUGCACCGCAGCACUGCUGUACUCGACGUGGGUUUAAUAACACAUGUCGAAACGUCAGGUGGUUCGCAGCAAGGAAUUGUGCUGGGGACGCCCGUCUCUCUGAAGGGAGAUAGCCCAAGCUGACUUACAACGAGAGCCAAGUGCCAGAGAGCUGCUGCUGAGCAGGAUAGGGAUUUUGGCCUCAUGACAAAAAUCACACCCCUGUGUGUGUGCCCAGGAAAUGAUGGGGGCCUAGAAUUCAAUGAGAUGAGAGAUAAGCAUGAGGGUAACUAACAGUCAAGACUGUUAAAAAAUUAUAAUUAACAAAUAAUCUUGCUGUACAUCAUUCCUCCCAUUGUUCUUGGCCGUAUCUGUAAAUAAAAUAAGACUGUA
Molecule: long non-coding RNA, 1088 nt
Organism: Cygnus olor (mute swan)
Lineage: Eukaryota; Metazoa; Chordata; Aves; Anseriformes; Anatidae
Exons: 2
Source: RefSeq, a predicted model, not a curated record